RNAcentral lists this ribosomal RNA (253 nucleotides) under uncultured bacterium. RNAcentral's name for it is "partial 16S ribosomal RNA". It matches the Rfam family "Bacterial small subunit ribosomal RNA", at positions 524 to 776 of the family's 1533-position model. The record is from RNAcentral.
UACGAAGGGUGCAAGCGUUGUUCGGAUUCAUUGGGCGUAAAGGGUGCGUAGGUGGCGGGGUAAGUCAGGUGUGAAAUCUCGGGGCUCAACCCCGAAACUGCACUUGAUACUGCCUUGCUCGAGUACUGGAGAGGAGAUUGGAAUUUACGGUGUAGCAGUGAAAUGCGUAGAUAUCGUAAGGAAGACCAGUGGCGAAGGCGAAUCUCUGGACAGUUACUGACACUGAGGCACGAAGGCCAGGGGAGCAAACGGG